AUUGAACGCUGGCGGCAGGCCUAACACAUGCAAGUCGAACGAGUGGCGGACGGGUGAGUAAUGUCUGGGAAACUGCCCGAUGGAGGGGGAUAACUACUGGAAACGGUAGCUAAUACCGCAUACCAUCGGAUGUGCCCAGAUGGGAUUAGCUUGUAGGUGAGGUAACGGCUCACCUAGGCGACGAUCCCUAGCUGGUCUGAGAGGAUGACCAGCAACACGGGAACUGAGACACGGUCGAGCCGCCUACGUGAGGCAGCAGUGGGGAAUAUGUGACAAUGGGCGGAAGCCUUAUGCAGCCAUGCCGCGUGUAUGGAGAAGGCCUUCGGGUUGUAAAGUACUUGCAGCGGGGAGGCUUUACCCGCAGAAGAAGCACCGGCUAACUCCGUGCCAGCAGCCGCGGUAAUAC
This 406-nucleotide ribosomal RNA is filed under the name uncultured bacterium. RNAcentral describes it as "partial 16S ribosomal RNA". It matches the Rfam family "Bacterial small subunit ribosomal RNA", at positions 30 to 526 of the family's 1533-position model. The record is from RNAcentral.